This 338-nucleotide ribosomal RNA is filed under the name Escherichia coli. Its description in RNAcentral is "bacterial SSU rRNA". It matches the Rfam family "Bacterial small subunit ribosomal RNA", at positions 1 to 333 of the family's 1533-position model. Lineage: Bacteria; Pseudomonadati; Pseudomonadota; Gammaproteobacteria; Enterobacterales; Enterobacteriaceae. The record is from RNAcentral.
UUAAAUUGAAGAGUUUGAUCAUGGCUCAGAUUGAACGCUGGCGGCAGGCCUAACACAUGCAAGUCGAACGGUAACAGGAAGCAGCUUGCUGCUUCGCUGACGAGUGGCGGACGGGUGAGUAAUGUCUGGGAAACUGCCUGAUGGAGGGGGAUAACUACUGGAAACGGUAGCUAAUACCGCAUAACGUCGCAAGACCAAAGAGGGGGACCUUCGGGCCUCUUGCCAUCGGAUGUGCCCAGAUGGGAUUAGCUAGUAGGUGGGGUAACGGCUCACCUAGGCGACGAUCCCUAGCUGGUCUGAGAGGAUGACCAGCCACACUGGAACUGAGACACGGUCCA